Rhagoletis zephyria (snowberry fruit fly) is the source of this 1145-nucleotide long non-coding RNA. RefSeq lists it as uncharacterized. NCBI's taxonomy places the organism in Eukaryota, Metazoa, Arthropoda, Insecta, Diptera, Tephritidae. The record is from RefSeq and is a predicted model, not a curated record.
AACAAUCUCGCACGCCAAAGAGCCUACAUGCAACAUCUGCUCCUUGCCAAACGAACAGUUCGAGUCAGUCGCCAGUCGCCACAAGAGUUCCCGAAUAAUUCGGCAGUUAAUAGUGCAAGAAGCAGCUAAACAUCCUCAUAUUUGGGAUUUACAACACAGCAUUAUUUAAGUCCGUGUGCAUUGAAACCUCGAUGAAAGUUGCAAAACUGGAAAAUUAAUAGGCGGUUAAAGUGUGCUAAAAUAUUGUUAUCAAUAUUGUCUUUAGAAAAACUUUAUUUAAAUUUGAGCUGGUUGUGAGUUGAAUGAAUCAUUUCAUCGAUUGGGAAGGAAAUUAAGCAAAACGAGCUUUUUGGGACGAAUUCGAAUACCAAAAUUUGCUAAAACCCCGUUAAAUCAUUAACUUUUCACCAUUAGAAAGAUAUUAAAAUAAAAAUCGAUUGAUUGCCAGAGUCUGUGAGAUUUUCUUCCACUUUAAUUGUGUGUUCAGUGCGCAGCACUGAAAAUUCGAUAAAACCCACACAAGAAUUCGGAAAGGGAAAACGCGAACAACAGAGGCUCGUGUGAAUAAAUUCCACGGCGUGUGACUACCUACCUUUUAUAUAUAUACAUACGUACAUACCUACCCAUAUGAGUGGCGGCUGCUCGCCAAUGCACACAAGGAAAAGUCGCAUAUAGUAAUCUCAAAAAGGUACAACAACAACGACGGCGACAACAACGCAUUUGCAGCAGCUGUUACGGCAACUGCAACAAAAUACGAAUACGACAAAAGCCUAAGCAAGCUGGCGAUAGAAUUGUUCAUCAUAAGCAGACCAUUAUUAUUGGCACGAGAAGUCUGCUCGGACGGAUAUUGAAAAAUUCAUAGCAGACAAGAAUAAACCGAAAGGUCAAAUAAUUAAUAAAAAUAAAGACGUGCUCGUGCUUAAAGAAACUAUUGAAAUAAUUAUAGGACUACUUUCGUUUGAACGGGGUUUGGCCGGUGGAGGUGCUCCGGGGGGCAACACAAGGCGUAAUAUCCGCUCAAAUAAAGCGAGUUUAUAGUUGAGAAUUUGAAAAACUAAAUCGACGGAAAUGUACGAAAUUUGUGUAAUCAACAAUUAAAAAUAUAUCCGUUAUAUAAUUAUAAAUCUAAAUAUUAAAUAUUAUUU